Molecule: ribosomal RNA, 380 nt
Filed under: Veillonella parvula
Lineage: Bacteria; Bacillati; Bacillota; Negativicutes; Veillonellales; Veillonellaceae
Description: bacterial SSU rRNA
Rfam family: Bacterial small subunit ribosomal RNA
Source: RNAcentral
CGAACGGGUGAGUAACGCGUAAUCAACCUGCCCUUUCAGAGGGGGACAACAGUUGGAAACGACUGCUAAUACCGCAUACGAUCUAAUCUCGGCAUCGAGGAUAGAUGAAAGGUGGCCUCUACAUGUAAGCUAUCACUGAAGGAGGGGAUUGCGUCUGAUUAGCUAGUUGGAGGGGUAACGGCCCACCAAGGCGAUGAUCAGUAGCCGGUCUGAGAGGAUGAACGGCCACGUUGGGACUGAGACACGGCCCAGACUCCUACGGGAGGCAGCAGUGGGGAAUCUUCCGCAAUGGACGAAAGUCUGACGGAGCAACGCCGCGUGAGUGAUGACGGCCUUCGGGUUGUAAAGCUCUGUUAAUCGGGACGAAAGGCCUUCUUGCG